Labeo rohita (rohu) is the source of this 839-nucleotide long non-coding RNA. RefSeq lists it as uncharacterized. The transcript has 3 exons. NCBI's taxonomy places the organism in Eukaryota, Metazoa, Chordata, Actinopteri, Cypriniformes, Cyprinidae. The record is from RefSeq and is a predicted model, not a curated record.
ACUGUUAACGCUAGGACAGUUUCGCAAACAAUAUACAUUUGCUAAAAGAUUAUUACAAAGAUACAGCCAUAUUACUGUCAUGUCAUUGUUACUUAAAAAUGAUAAAUCAUACGAUUAUAUCAAUACUAUCUUUGUAGGAGUCGCGUCUUAAACAAGCUGUGGCGAGAGAGAGAGAGAGAGAGAGAGAGAGAGAGAGACACUCGUUAGAGUACAGUUCGGGUGCCUCUCAAACAAAACUCGUGAAUCAGUAUGUAGCCAUAAAGAUUAUCACUGUCAUAUGUAUCAGCCAUCUUGAAUAGUAAUUUAGUAAAAACAAAUUGUAAAAAAAAAAAUUAUUUGUUUUUUAUAUUUAUUUGUUUGUUUGUUUGUUUUAUACCAUUAAUAUAAUGUUUGUCUUAUUUCUCUUUUGAGUACUGAUUUCAAUCUAGUCUUGAGUGCAAAGUUUAGCUCCAGCCCCAAUCAUGUACAGCUGAACCAGCUGAUCAGGGUCUUCAGGAGAACCACAGACUUUCAAGCAGGCGUGUGGACGGGUUGGAGCUGAACUCUGUCGGAUGUUGGUCCUUCAGGACACCACUGCUCUAAACAAAGAGCCACCAGGUCGCUGCAUCUUUUGUAAUAUGAUGGAACAAAAAGUAGGCUGGCCACAGCAUCUGAAAUGGAAACAUCUAUUAAAAUGCCUCCACAGUAUAAGACACUUGGGAUGGUGGAAGGAGCAGAGGAACAGGGUUCAGGCAGAGAUCUACUGUUGCCCCUUAGGGAACUGAUUUAUGAUCUACUUAACAUUCUGAUUUAGUAAUAAUUGAUCAUUGCUCUGUCCUAUAAAAUUAUUUAAUACUUUC